AGUGAACGCUGGCGGUAGGCCUAACACAUGCAAGUCGAACGGCAGCACAGUAAGAGCUUGCUCUUACGGGUGGCGAGUGGCGGACGGGUGAGGAAUACAUCGGAAUCUACUUUUUCGUGGGGAUAACGUAGUGAAACUUACGCUAAUACCGCAUACGACCUACGGGUGAAAGCAGGGGAUCUUCGGACCUUGCGCGAUUGAAUGAGCCGAUUUCGGAUUAGCUAGUUGGCGGGGUAAAGGCCAACCAAGGCGACGAUCCGUAGCUGGUCUGAGAGGAUGAUCAGCCACACUGGAACUGAGACACGGUCCAGACUCCUACGGGAGGCAGCAGUGGGGAAUUUUGGACAAUGGGCGCAAGCCUGAUCCAGCAAUCCCGCGUGGGUGAAGAAGGCCUUCGGGUUGUAAAGCCCUUUUGUGGGGAAAGAAACGGAAGAGGUUAAUACCCCGUUCUUAUGAGGGUACCCAAAGAAUAAGCACCGGCUAACUUCGUG
Molecule: ribosomal RNA, 491 nt
Filed under: uncultured bacterium
Lineage: Bacteria
Description: partial 16S ribosomal RNA
Rfam family: Bacterial small subunit ribosomal RNA
Source: RNAcentral